Molecule: unclassified non-coding RNA, 715 nt
Filed under: Hevea brasiliensis (rubber tree)
Lineage: Eukaryota; Viridiplantae; Streptophyta; Magnoliopsida; Malpighiales; Euphorbiaceae
Source: RNAcentral
GAAUGGUUUAAGAAAGAUUAUAAGCCCCCUGUUUUUGAGGAGCCUAAGAUUGCAAACUUGGAUGAUGUAGAAGCUGUCUUCAAAGAUUCAGAAGAGCACCAUGUGACAGAGAAGAAGGAAGAACACCCAGCAGCUAUGAAUGCCUUCGAGUUAAUUUCAAUGUCGAAAGGGCUCAACCUGGCAAAUUUGUUUGGUACAGAACAGGAAUUCAAGAGAGAAACAAGGUUCACCUCUAAAUGCUCAGCUAAUGAAAUUGUAAAUAAGAUCGAAGAAGCUGCAAAACCUCUUGGUUUUGAUGUACAAAAGAAAAAUUACAAGAUGAGGCUUGAAAAUGUGAAAGCCGGUCGGAAGGGAAACCUUAAUGUUGCCACAGAGAUUCUGCAAGUUGCGCCUUCUGUCCAUGUGGUUGAGAUGAGAAAAGCAAAGGGAGACACUUUAGAGUUUCACAAGUUCUACAAAAACCUCUCCACCUCCCUGGAGGAUGUUGUUUGGAAGACGGAGGAAGACAUGCAGGAAACAAAGUGAAACUCGACGCAGUUCGAAUUGGGAAGAACAAAAUAUUGUAAAUGCUUCAGGACUGCUGUUUCCUUAACCCUCAACUCUCAUGUGUUCAGUCGAUUGUUUUCCAUUUUAUUGUAGGAAAGCAUGGAAAAAGCUCCCAAAAAAAUGAGCUGUGAUGAUGUUUUUGAUCUUACAUUUGAAACUUGGGUUCUCA